AUUGAACGCUAGCGGGAUGCCUUACACAUGCAAGUCGACCUUUGUGGCGGACUGGUGAGUAAUUUAUCGGCACGUGCCCAGUCUCCCCGGAUAACUACUCUAAACCUUGGCUACUACCGCUUACUAUUCUUUCGGCCGUUAUCGGAUGAGCUAGGUGGUGGGGUAAAGGCUCACAAAGGCCACCAUCCCUAGCUGGUGUGAGAGGACGACCGGCCACACGGGGACUGAGACACGGCCCAGACUCCUACGGGAGGCAGCAGUGGGGAAUUUUGGACAAUGGGGGAAAGCCUGAUCCAGCAAUGCCGCGUGUAUGAUGAAGGUCUUCGGGUUGUAAAGUACUUUUGGCAGAGAAGCGGUAACUAAAGAGAAAGCAACGGCUAACUACGUGCCAGCCGCCGCGGUAAUAG
Molecule: ribosomal RNA, 407 nt
Filed under: uncultured bacterium
Lineage: Bacteria
Description: partial 16S ribosomal RNA
Rfam family: Bacterial small subunit ribosomal RNA
Source: RNAcentral